Molecule: ribosomal RNA, 253 nt
Filed under: uncultured bacterium
Lineage: Bacteria
Description: partial 16S ribosomal RNA
Rfam family: Bacterial small subunit ribosomal RNA
Source: RNAcentral
UACGGAGGGGGCUAGCGUUGUUCGGAAUUACUGGGCGUAAAGCGCACGUAGGCGGACGCUUAAGUCAGGGGUGAAAUCCCGGGGCUCAACCCCGGAACUGCCUUUGAUACUGGGUGUCUGGAGGUCGAGAGAGGUGAGUGGAAUUCCGAGUGUAGAGGUGAAAUUCGUAGAUAUUCGGAGGAACACCAGUGGCGAAGGCGGCUCACUGGCUCGAUACUGACGCUGAGACGCGAAAGCGUGGGGAGCGAACAGG